Molecule: ribosomal RNA, 301 nt
Filed under: uncultured bacterium
Lineage: Bacteria
Description: partial 16S ribosomal RNA
Rfam family: Bacterial small subunit ribosomal RNA
Source: RNAcentral
CAGUCGCCGCGGGAAUACAGAGGGUGCGAGCGUUAAUCGGAUUUACUGGGCGUAAAGCGUGCGUAGGCGGCUUUUUAAGUCGGAUGUGAAAUCCGUGAGCUUAACUUAGGAAUUGCAUUCGAUACUGGGAAGCUAGAGUAUGGGAGAGGAUGGUAGAAUUCCAGGUGUAGCGGUGAAAUGCGUAGAGAUCUGGAGGAAUACCGAUGGCGAAGGCAGCCAUCUGGCCUAAUACUGACGCUGAGGUACGAAAGCAUGGGGAGCAAACAGGAUUAGAUACCCCGGUAGUCCCUGUCUCUUAUAC